AUCCCGGUUAUCACUUACAAAUAAAUCCUCAAGUUGUUAAAAAGUCAUUAUUAUCAUUUGUUGCUUUAUAUCAAUCUAGUCACAAGAUCAUGGUCAUAAAAUUAAAACCCAAAUGCUAUACUUGCCUUGAUCCAAUUGCUCCUGCUGGUCCUACUGAUCUUACUUGCUUCCAAGGCUCUGAUCUUGAUCACCGAAGUAAUGCCCACUGUCUAAUCUCGAUCAUCGAUUAUCGACACACAAGCAUUCAAGGCCACACAUACACAAAGCAAACAAAGCUACAAUUAGAACAGUACACCAGCAGUAAAUAAAUUUAAAUAAAAGUUUCCGAAAUCAUCUACACGCUGCUACGAUCACAUCAACGAGAAAUUCACGGAAAACGGAGUUACGACGCGAAAGUUACGCUUUUAACGGGAUUUCAACAGCAGUUUACGGACUUGUAAUUAACUAGGGAAUCUAACAGUGGUGAAUCUAGCCAACAAAGGUACCAACGCGAAGCUUAUGAAAUUAUAAAACUAACGCAACUUGAACGGAUCGAAUCGGAGCUAAAACGGAGAAGAUAUGAAUUUUCUAACAUUUUCUUUAGAAAAGUAAUUAAUUAAAUAGGGUCACAAAAUUAAAGUGAUACAAAUUGUUAAACCAAGUUUACUAACGUAAAGUUCAUGUGAUUACGAAUCUAACGCAAUUUGAACGGGUCAAAUCGGAGUUAAAACGAAUAUUUUAUGAGCAAAACAGUUUCAAUGGUAAACUUGUAAAUACUAGAAAGCGUAUUCUGAUUCAAACCGAGACUCUACGCUUCUCCAAAAGUAAAGCGUAUUCCCUGCAAAACGACAUGGACUGCGGGUUGAUAAUCUAAAACUAUAGGGACUCUUUAACAAAAUGAGCCCCGAAGGGGUACGGAGCGUUCUGGUCCGUUGGAUCACAGAUGAACGGCCCGGAUUAAAAGAAAAGAAAGAAAAAGGAAAAAAAACAAAUAAGAAAGAGAGGGAAGGGGUGCGCACCGGCCAGAGCUGAGCAAAGUCACGGCGGUGGCCAUGGAUUCCGGCCAAAGCUCGUCGGCGCAAAUGGAUCGGCAGCUACGGUGCACGGUUUUCGAUUCCGUUUGAACCAGGAGAAAGAGGAGAGCGAUGCGAGUCCAUUCCAAACCAUAAACGCGGUCGAGGAGGCGGUUUCCGAGAAGGUUCAUGGCGACGCCAUGAACGUCGUGUCGGAGCUUGCGGAACUGGGACUCCGGGCCACGAUUCGCUCGGCAACAGGACGGGGAGGGAGCGGGGAAGAAGACGGAGCUCACCACAGCGCUAAUUCGGAGCGAAAACGGCUCGGGACGGCGGCUUCGCGUGGCGGGCGGAAAACUCCGGUGACGGUUUCUCUCUACGCACGCACGGACGGGAGCAGAAGCGAGGAGAGGGGAACUGGGGAGGAGAAGGAGACGCGCGGCUCGCAGCCCACUACUUAUCCAAGCGCGGGAGGGGAGAACGUGGGGAGCGGGGAGAGGAUCGCACGGUUGCGGCUUCAUGAGAGAGAGAGGCGGUUGGAGGAAAGGGAUGAAGCUGACGCGUGGGCUCCGCUUGUCAGCCACUGGAGAGAGAGGAGGAGGAAGGGGGUUGGUCGGCUGGGCCGACUGGGCCAAAAGGGAAAGAAGGGUUUUGUUUUUUUUCAACUCAUUUUCAAAAGCAUUUUCAAUUUGAAUUUUGAACAAAUCUUUCUUUUGCAAAAUUCACACAUCACAAAAUAAAAUGCCACAGCAUGAAUGCACACACAAAAAAAUGUUUUCUAAACUUAUAUUAAAUUUUAUUUUCCCAAAAUUUAUUUAUUAUUUUUUUUCCUAUAUUUUAUGAGCACAAAAUAGCAAAUUAAAUUAUUUUUCAUCUAUUUCCAAAAGAGCAAAAUUUAGGGUGUUACAAUUCUACCCCCCUUAAAAAUGAAUCUCGUCCUCGAGAUUCGAAAGAGGCUCAGGUCCUCUGAGCGAAACAGGAAAAUAUCUUGAUAAUCCUUUCAACUUCACAACUUGCAUACCAAACUUAAACACUUGUCUCAAGGUCACACCUCGUGAACAACAUUUCCAUUGAAUAACUAUUUUUCAUAGUUGACCGAAGUCCAUCUUGACUACUAAUCCUCUUAUCUUACAACUCCAAGAGACAUAGAAACUUAAUAUGCAUUUGCUUCAUCAGGUAGGAGUGGGCCACCAUGAUACUCAAUUCUUUUUCCUGACGGUGUUGUUAAGAGCAUUUUGUACUGGGUACCAUAGGUCACUCCUUUGUGUGCACACAACCAUCCAUUACCAAGGACCAAGGGAAUACCAAGUGACUCUAGCACAAUGAGGUUUACAGCGAAGUUUUCUUUGUUUAUGACCAGAUUGAUAUUUGAGCACACCUGAUCUGCUUGUCUUUCUCCCACUAGGGUUUGAACUAAUAAAGGCUUCCUCGUUGGGCACUUCACCCACUCGAUCGUCUUUACCAAGUCAGCAGAAAUGAAAGAAUGCGAAGCACUCGGGUCAAAGAGGGCAAAAACUUGCACUAAGUCUACUUGAAUAUAACCACCAACCACUUUGGUAGCUCCAUGAAUGUUAUGCCUAUCCACAUUGCUCAGUCUCCCAUUGAUAUAGUCUCGUUGCACCCUACUUCCAUGAGCAGGCUUCUUACAGCUUUUCCUUUUUCUCUUUCGCCGUUGUGGAUUCUGAUUUGAUUCACUUCCAACUUGCUCUUGAGUAUCAUUAUUUUGAUAGCAUUCAGUUUCAUCAUACUCAUAACAUCCUUCAGAGGCAGGAUCAUCAUUCUCUUCCCACGUAUCAGUAAGAGGCAUCAUAUAGGGCUCCUGAUCCAUGGGAUACUACACUCCCUGUCAUCAAGUGACCAACAUCAAUAACACGAGAAGGAGAGAUGAUCAUAUCCAUAGAUUAUCUCAAGAGACAACUCUCACUUCAGGAUAAGUUGAAAAUGCAUCAACCCGUGAUAUCAAGGUACUACCCCCCUUAAGAAAGGUCGGCUAGGAGGCACAAGGAAGGUAGCUUGCACUUUUUCCUGACAAGUUAUCUUGCAUUGAGACCUUUUUGACAUCCCAAGGAACUUAUGUGCAAGGAUGAAACAUACAUCCUAAAAUUUCCUCACGAUAUGAAAAUUACUAGUGCAGAAAAAUAGACAUAACUCUUGUUCUAUUAAUCCAAUAGGGCCAUAGCUUAUACCGUUAGAAAGCUUAGAAAAUUUUCUACAACCUUUCUGCAGAACACUUUUCCAAAUUCUAUAGUUAUAUUUGUCCAAAACAGCAGGCAACCAAAACUGGUCCAGAUUCUUGACAGCACAUCUAUAUCGUCUUGUGAUUUUUGUAACUUCCAAACCAUAAUAGCUAUGGGGGUGAUUCUUGCGGUCAGAGAAAGAUCUUGAAGUCCACUCUCAUUCAGAAUUUUAUCAUGAUUUUUAUUCAUCCAAGAUCAGAGACAUAAGCCGAUAAAGAUGAGAUACUCUAGAAAGGCACGAUAAGGUAACAAGAGAAAAACCAAAACCCAACUAUUUAUGUCAUUAAUCCUUAUGCCUUAGACAUAUAAACUAAAUGAAAUUGUGAAGAAACUCACAAGAUCAUUACACUCAUUACAAAGAUCCAAAUCAAACAUAAACAUAAAGAAAAUUCAACCAAGCAGUAAAGGUUCACAUGGCACACAAACUCGAUUUUCGCUGCUAGCGUUUUUAUUACACAAGGGCACAAACUCCUAUAUCUUAAACUCAGUGUGGCUUCUUUCAUGAUACUACUGUUGGUUCUUCUGUGGACAAGACUUUACAUAGUGUCCUUCCUGUCGGCAGUGAUAACACUUUUUCUUAGCUGGAUCCUUCGUGAUAUGAUUUUCCACUGAGGUGUUGCUCGGUGUGUUAUCAGCUCGCUGACUCUGAAGGUUUGUCUCUGGCUGGCUAGCUUUCUUCCUAACUUGGUUGAUCCUUCGAGGUUGAAACUCUUUAUAAGUGAUGGUUCAUCCAUCUAUGCAUACCUCAUGAGCAGUGGGGUUAGCUUGAGAAGUUUCUUCAUCUCCAAGGUUUGGAUUUUCAUGGCCAAAGUCCAAAGCUAAAUGUGACAACUUAGGAUUUGAAUGUUGUUCACUUCCCAAUGCUGGCUCUAGUGAUUUUGCCUUCCUCUUCUUAUCCUCAUUAGUCACAUAAUUUGGUUUUACCUUAACGUCCUUUUUAGAUGCCCUAUUCCGAAGACAAGGAAGACUAUAAUGCCUACAGCAAUGGCAUUGAUCCUGAUAUCCCGAUGUAUUACUACCAACACCUCCAUGGGUUCUCAUAUUUUUCCAAGCUUCUGCUACUUGUCUCUUCACUGGUCCUGAGAUGCACUGCUGAGAGUUCCCAUUCUGAGUCAUUCCUUCCACUACUUGCUUUUGCAUGGCUAGAAGCUUCUCCUUGUCGAAUGCUUUUACGGGUGGCAUCUCUAAGUCCUUUUGUUCAUUCAUGUCAAAGGUCUCCUCGUUAUGAGCCAUCUAAAUAGACAAGGUGGUUGGAUUUAGAAUAGAGACAAAGUUUUAUAACAGAAUAGGGCAGAGGUAAGUAUAUUUUUUUAGCAAUUAUCAAGGUUAAGGUGAAAGCAAGAAGUAAGCAGAGAUAGAAGCAUCCUAAAACGUCCGGUUCUAACUAGGCUUCCGUCCUACAGUCAGCAUUGCUUUGAUACCACUUUGUAACACCCGAUUUUAAGAACAAAAUCAGAUAUGCACCAUAUGUGAGUUUUAGAAGACAAGCCUCACAUAUAGCUACAAAUAAGAGUUAAUAUCAAAGGACAAUGCAUAAAUUACAUAGCGUACAUAGUAAAUCAGAAACAACCUUAGGCAGCAAACCAUGGAAUAUAACUCCAAACUUCGGGUGUUAACUUCACUCUACAGGAUCCAACUGACUGGUUGAUCACAAGCCCAAAACUUCUCCUGAGGUGUGGGGGAGAUAGCAAGAGUGAGUUCAAGACGAACCCCGCAAGUAUAGCAACUAGAUAGUAUAGAUCCCACGGUCUCAUGAUCAAUGUGACAUAAAUAAUAUAGAGCAUUAAACAAUAAUCAAUGAGUUUCUUAACACAAGAUUCAUCACCCUUAAUGUAAGAGUUCCCAAGGCCGCUCGUGACCGUGAGCACGGCUAGUAUACCAGUAUUUUAACACUCUCAGAGGUUGUACAUCUUUACCCAUGAGUCAUGAUUUACCCUUUCGCCUGAGGUGAUCAGCCUCGUAACCCACUACCAAGGUAGGUCGGCAGGGAUCACUAUAAAGUCUUUCAAAGGUUCGUCUAACAAGUUAGGGCCGCUUGGUUUCGGUAGUCAGUCCAUGUGAUUCUACCCCGCAGGGGAUCCACGGUCUGCUAUCCCCCAUUUGCGCCACACGGGUAACCUCUAACAAGCUAGAAAAGUUACUCAUACUUGACUAAAGCCAGAGCCAUUAUAGCCCUCAUGGUUGCACUUUCAUCCCGGUUAUCACUUACGAAUAAAUCCUCAAGUUGUUAAAAAGUCAUUAUUAUCAUUUGUUGCUUUAUAUCAAUCUAGUCACAAGAUCAUGGUCAUAAAAUUAAAACCCAAAUGCUAUACUUGCCUUGAUCCAAUUGCUCCUGCUGGUCCUACUGAUCUUACUUGCUUCCAAGGCUCUGAUCUUGAUCACCGAAGUAAUGCCCACUGUCUAAUCUCGAUCAUCGAUUAUCGACACACAAGCAUUCAAGGCCACACAUACACAAAGCAAACAAAGCUACAAUUAGAACAGUACACCAGCAGUAAAUAAAUUUAAAUAAAAGUUUCCGAAAUCAUCUACACGCUGCUACGAUCACAUCAACGAGAAAUUCACGGAAAACGGAGUUACGACGCGAAAGUUACGCUUUUAACGGGAUUUCAACAGCAGUUUACGGACUUGUAAUUAACUAGGGAAUCUAACAGUGGUGAAUCUAGCCAACAAAGGUACCAACGCGAAGCUUAUGAAAUUAUAAAACUAACGCAACUUGAACGGAUCGAAUCGGAGCUAAAACGGAGAAGAUAUGAAUUUUCUAACAUUUUCUUUAGAAAAGUAAUUAAUUAAAUAGGGUCACAAAAUUAAAAUGAUACAAAUUGUUAAACCAAGUUUACUAACGUAAAGUUCAUGUGAUUACGAAUCUAACGCAAUUUGAACGGGUCAAAUCGGAGUUAAAACGAAUAUUUUAUGAGCAAAACAGUUUCAAUGGCAAACGUGUAAAUACUGGAAAGCGUAUUCUGAUUCAAACCGAGACUUUACGCUUCUCCAAAAGCAAAGCGUAUUCCCUGCAAAACAACAUGGACUGCGGGUUGAUAACCUAAAACUAUAGGGACUCUUUAACAUAAUGAGCCCCGAAGGGAUACGGAGCGUUCUGGUCCGUUGGAUCACAGAUGAACGGCCCGGAUUAAAAGAAAAGAAAGAAAAAGAAAAAAACAAAUAAGAAAGAGAGGGAAGGGGUGCGCACCGGCCAGAGCUGAGCAAAGUUACGGCGGUGGCCAUGGAUUCCGGCCAAAGCUCGCCGGCGCAAAUGGAUCGGCAGCUACGGUGCACGAUUUUCGAUUCCGUUUGAACCAGGAGAAAGAGGAGAGCGAUGCGAGUCCAUUCCAAACCAUAAACGCGGUCGAGGAGGCGGUUUCCGAGAAGGUCGGAGCUCGCGGAACUAGGACUCCGGGCCACGAUUCGCUCGGCAACAGGACGGGGAGGGAGCGGGGAAGAAGACGGAGCUCACCACAGCGCUAAUUCGGAGCGAAAACGGCUCGGGACGGCGGCUUCGCGCGGCGGGCGAAAAACUCCGGCGACGGUUUCUCUCUACGCGCGCACGGACGGGAGCAGAAGCGAGGAGAGGGGAACUGGGGAGGAGAAGGAGACGCGCGGCUCGCAGCCCACUACUUAUCCAAGCGCGGGGAGGGGAGAACGUGGGGGAGCGGGGAGAGGAGCGCACGGUUGCGGCUUCAUGAGAGAGAGAGGCGGUUGGAGGAAAGGGAUGAAGCUGACGCGUGGGCCCCACUUGUCAGCCACCGGAGAGAGAGGAGGAGGAAGGGGGUUGGCCGGCUG
Molecule: long non-coding RNA, 7006 nt
Filed under: Sorghum bicolor (sorghum)
Lineage: Eukaryota; Viridiplantae; Streptophyta; Magnoliopsida; Poales; Poaceae
Description: long non-coding RNA (SBIC_LNC013835)
Source: RNAcentral